CGAGUUGGCCGGGCGGCCGCGGCCCACGCUGGUCAACCAGCCGGGUCGAGGAAAGUCCGGACUUCACAGAGCAGGGUGAUUGCUAACGGCAAUCCGGGGUGACCCGCGGGAAAGUGCCACAGAAAACAGACCGCUACCUGGUAGUAAGGGUGAAACGGUGCGGUAAGAGCGCACCAGCAUUCCGGGUGACCGGGAUGGCUUGGCAAACCCCACCCGAAGCAAGGCCAAGAAGGCCGCAGCCUGGCUGCGGUCGCGCAGACGUUCGAGGGUUGCUCGCCCGAGUCUGCGGGUAGGCCGCUUGAGGCACCCGGCGACGGUGUGUCCAGAUGGAUGGUCGCCGCCGCGCCACCGUAUUGCGGGGGCGCGGAACAGAAUCCGGCUUACAGGCCAACUCGUUCG
This 399-nucleotide RNase P RNA is filed under the name Mycobacterium sp. 1274756.6. RNAcentral's name for it is "RNase P RNA component class A". It matches the Rfam family "Bacterial RNase P class A". From Rfam's summary of the family: Ribonuclease P (RNase P) is a ubiquitous endoribonuclease, found in archaea, bacteria and eukarya as well as chloroplasts and mitochondria. Its best characterised activity is the generation of mature 5'-ends of tRNAs by cleaving the 5'-leader elements of precursor-tRNAs. Lineage: Bacteria; Bacillati; Actinomycetota; Actinomycetes; Mycobacteriales; Mycobacteriaceae. The record is from RNAcentral.